UACAACCGGAACUACGUGUUCG
This 22-nucleotide unclassified non-coding RNA is filed under the name Chlamydomonas reinhardtii. RNAcentral's name for it is "small RNA Cre_2172". Lineage: Eukaryota; Viridiplantae; Chlorophyta; Chlorophyceae; Chlamydomonadales; Chlamydomonadaceae. The record is from RNAcentral.